RNAcentral lists this ribosomal RNA (462 nucleotides) under uncultured bacterium. RNAcentral's name for it is "bacterial SSU rRNA". It matches the Rfam family "Bacterial small subunit ribosomal RNA", at positions 33 to 507 of the family's 1533-position model. The record is from RNAcentral.
GAGACGCUGGCGGCGUGCCUAACACAUGCAAGUCGAGCGAAUGAAGUUCCUUCGGGAACGGAUUUAGCGGCGGACGGGUGAGUAACACGUGGGCAACCUGCCUCAUAGAGGGGAAUAGCCUUCCGAAAGGGAGAUUAAUACCGCAUAAGAUUGUAGUACCGCAUGGUACAGCAAUUAAAGGAGCAAUCCGCUAUGAGAUGGGCCCGCGGCGCAUUAGCUAGUUGGUGAGGUAACGGCUCACCAAGGCGACGAUGCGUAGCCGACCUGAGAGGGUGAUCGGCCACAUUGGGACUGAGACACGGCCCAGACUCCUACGGGAGGCAGCAGUGGGGAAUAUUGCACAAUGGGGGAAACCCUGAUGCAGCAACGCCGCGUGAGUGAUGACGGCCUUCGGGUUGUAAAGCUCUGUCUUCAGGGACGAUAAUGACGGUACCUGAGGAGGAAGCCACGGCUAACUACGUG